CGGGUUUGUAAAAUUUUAUGAGGAGCUCUAUACUAGUUGUAUUGCUAUGAAAACGGGGCUUUAUAUAUUUUCACAACACAAGUUUAUGAGAAAGUUUGGGGUUUGUUUGUGAGUAUGUUGGUAGCUAGCUAUAGAUCAUGGUGGGUGUCAGAGUGGUCUCUCCUGUCCUUUAGGGAUCCCUCACAGUGAAGUAUGAGGAUCAGAGUACAGCUGGACUGUGGAAGUCUGUUUCUCCUACCCAGUCAACAGAGAACAUCUCCACAAGUUCAAACACAUCUAUGGAAACGUUUUUCACCUACUUCUGUAAUCUGGAUGAAGACGCACACCACCCUCUGAAGCUGCUACCAGAGUAUGUCUAUAUAGUCUACUACAAGUUUGAAUGCAUGACCAAAGGGUCUGACAUCUAAGCGUCCUGAUGGCAAGGCAGACGAAUGCAAAUCUCUUUGAAACCGAAGAAUCUAUUUGAGAAAUAAGUGGUCGCCAACUGAAUGUGCUUCAAGCUAAUUUGAAUAUUUUAAUAGACCUUUCAUUGUUGAUACCCAAAUCUUUUUCCUCAAACAUUCUGUUUCCUAUCACUCCUUGGCUUGAUGAAAUCUAUCUGAUCUUUUUUUUUAAUCAAUGUUGAAGGGAGACAAUCGCAUUCAAUAAAAUCAAAAAAAAAAAAA
This is a non-coding RNA of Oncorhynchus mykiss (rainbow trout), 665 nucleotides long. Lineage: Eukaryota; Metazoa; Chordata; Actinopteri; Salmoniformes; Salmonidae. The record is from RefSeq and is a predicted model, not a curated record.